AACGAACGCUGGCGGCAUGCCUAACACAUGCAAGUCGAACGAGACCUUCGGGUCUAGUGGCGCACGGGUGCGUAACGCGUGGGAAUCUACCCUCAGGUUCGGAAUAACUCAGAGAAAUUUGAGCUAAUACCGGAUGAUGACGUAAGUCCAAGAUUUAUCGCCUGAGGAUGAGCCCGCUUAGGAUUAGGUAGUUGGUGAGGUAAAGGCUCACCAAGCCGACGAUCCUUAGCUGGUCUGAGAGGAUGAUCAGCCACACUGGGACUGAGACACGGCCCAGACUCCUACGGGAGGCAGCAGUGGGGAAUAUUGGACAAUGGGCGAAAGCCUGAUCCAGCAAUGCCGCGUGAGUGAUGAAGGCCUUAGGGUUGUAAAGCUCUUUUACCCGGGAUGAUAAUGACAGUACCGGGAGAAUAAGCUCCGGCUAACUCCGUG
Molecule: ribosomal RNA, 432 nt
Filed under: uncultured bacterium
Lineage: Bacteria
Description: partial 16S ribosomal RNA
Rfam family: Bacterial small subunit ribosomal RNA
Source: RNAcentral